ACUUUCAACAACGGAUCUCUUGGUUCUGGCAUCGAUGAAGAACGCAGCAAAAUGCGAUAAGUAAUGUGAAUUGCAGAAUUCAGUGAAUCAUCGAAUCUUUGAACGCACAUUGCGCCCGCCAGUAUUCUGGCGGGCAUGCCUGUUCGAGCGUCAUUUCAACCCUCAAGCACAGCUUGGUGUUGGGACUCGCGUUAAUUCGCGUUCCUCA
This 208-nucleotide ribosomal RNA is filed under the name Fusarium oxysporum. RNAcentral's name for it is "5.8S ribosomal RNA". The stretch from base 1 to 153 matches the Rfam family "5.8S ribosomal RNA". From Rfam's summary of the family: 5.8S ribosomal RNA (5.8S rRNA) is a component of the large subunit of the eukaryotic ribosome. It is transcribed by RNA polymerase I as part of the 45S precursor that also contains 18S and 28S rRNA. Functionally, it is thought that 5.8S rRNA may be involved in ribosome translocation. The record is from RNAcentral. Lineage: Eukaryota; Fungi; Ascomycota; Sordariomycetes; Hypocreales; Nectriaceae.